RNAcentral lists this ribosomal RNA (253 nucleotides) under uncultured bacterium. Its description in RNAcentral is "partial 16S ribosomal RNA". It matches the Rfam family "Bacterial small subunit ribosomal RNA", at positions 524 to 776 of the family's 1533-position model. The record is from RNAcentral.
UACGUAGGGUGCGAGCGUUAAUCGGAAUUACUGGGCGUAAAGCGUGCGCAGGCGGUUUUGUAAGCCAGAUGUGAAAUCCCCGGGCUUAACCUGGGAAUGGCAUUUGGGACUGCAAGGCUCGAGUGCGGCAGAGGAGACUGGAAUUCCUGGUGUAGCAGUGAAAUGCGUAGAUAUCAGGAGGAACACCGGUGGCGAAGGCGGCUUCCUGGACACUUACUGACGCUGAGACGCGAAAGCGUGGGGAGCAAACAGG